Molecule: unclassified non-coding RNA, 367 nt
Filed under: uncultured Alphaproteobacteria bacterium
Lineage: Bacteria; Pseudomonadati; Pseudomonadota; Alphaproteobacteria
Description: contains 16S-23S intergenic spacer region
Source: RNAcentral
UCCGGCUUAUCACCGGCAGUUUCUUUAGAGUGCUCAACUGAAUGGUAGCAACUAAAGACGAGGGUUGCGCUCGUUGCGGGACUUAACCCAACAUCUCACGACACGAGCUGACGACAGCCAUGCAGCACCUGUGUCCAGGCCCCGUAAGGGGAGGAAUCCAUCUCUGGAAACCGUCCUGGCAUGUCAAACGCUGGUAAGGUUCUGCGCGUUGCUUCGAAUUAAACCACAUGCUGUGGACGGAAUCGACCCCGUCCGUGGCGAAGCUAACGCGUUAAGUGAGCCGCCUGGGGAGAGCUUAAUGCGUUAGCUGCGCCACUGAGGAGUAAACUCCCCAACGGCUAGCUCUCAUAGUUUACGGCGUGGACUA